GAUGUGUUUAAAACAGCGUGUUUUAAAGAAUAGAUUGCUUACCAUAAAAUCGUGUUUCACACUCUCAAGGCAAGUGGUCAAACAAGGACUGUGGUAUGUGUCAUUUUAUUCAGGUGUGGAAGUUUAGCCGCCUAAUACCUUCUCUGUUGAGAAACUUCAUUGAACCACUCAUGACAUCUAAGAAGAUCAUUGACAAUGUAUAAACUAAUUGUGGGUUUGAUAUUUAUGUAAAUACCCGUUUACUAUGCUUUAAUUUUGCACAUUCAUGUG
Molecule: long non-coding RNA, 270 nt
Organism: Octodon degus (degu)
Lineage: Eukaryota; Metazoa; Chordata; Mammalia; Rodentia; Octodontidae
Exons: 2
Source: RefSeq, a predicted model, not a curated record